AAAAAAAAAGGAAAAACAUUUCGAUUUCGAUACUUUUCUGGUUCGAUUCUUAGUAAAAAACCAAAAUCAAACUAAAGUAUCAAAAUAAUUUCGGUUCGGUAUAGUUUCUAUUAGUUCGGUAUGGUUAUUUAGUUCGGUUUGGGACCCCUUAGAACCAUGCACAGCCCUAGUUAGUAGGGCUUGAAAGGACAAAGUACUCUAAUUGGUUUUAUAUGAAAGCAGUAAAGACUUUUACUGUAACUAGUAUGGUUUAUUUGCACCUUUUGGCAUCCGAGUAAUGAACAAGAUGAAUGGAGGUUAAGUCUAAUAAGAAGUGCUGACGUGUACUUAGGACAGCAUAAUUUGAAACCAGAAUAUGAUGUGUAAACGGUGAAUAAUAAUAAGUUUUAGCUUAAAACUAUAUAAAAAAAUCGUGGAUAAUGAUGUUUAACGUGGAUAUAUGUUAUUUGUUGCUGGUGUAUUGCAAGAUUAGCAUUCUCUGUAUUUGAGGAUGCCAUUGUGAUUGAAAGGCUUAUUCAGAAUUUUUGGCAUUCCAUAUAUCAUUGGAACAAAAUGUUGAUGCAAUUUCAUGUAUCUUCUCCUCUCCGCCAAUCUAAUGCUUGAAAAAAUAUAGUAUUUGGGCAUAUGUUGUAUAGGAGGAAAUAUUUUAGCUUUCUUUAGAAUUUUUUUUUUCUCUUUCACAAAUUUUAUGCAACUUGAUCUUGAAAACUUGAGAUUGUGGCUACAACUGCUGAUCUGAGCUGGUAAUGGGAUAGUGAAUUAUUGCGUUGGAGUUUGGCAAAUGACUCGAAGUUGAUCACUGAUUAGGAUCAGUUCUUAAUUGCUAUUUCUCGUACUUGACUGAUGCUCAUCUUGACUUUUGUUGCUAUUAAUUAAUCACCUUUUUUGUAAUGUUUGAUAUUAUCUUCAGAGUUUUGAAGCUCUGAAUCAACGGGCUGUGGCAGUUGUGGUGGAUCCAAUUCAGAGCGUUAAAGGGAAAGUGGUGAUAGAUGCUUUUCGCUUGAUUAACCCACAGACAAUGAUGCUUGGCCAAGAACCACGGCAGACAACUUCCAACCUUGGCCAUCUGAAUAAGCCAUCCAUUCAGGCAUUGAUACACGGAUUGAACAGGCACUAUUACUCAAUAGCCAUUAAUUAUAGAAAGAAUGAACUGGAGGAAAAAAUGCUUCUUAACCUGCACAAAAAGAAAUGGACAGAUGGAUUGACACUCAAGCGGUUUGAUACUCAUUCUAAAACCAAUGAACAGACUGUUCAGGUGAGUGAGUGUUACAAAGUUCAAGCUAACUAUUUUCAUGCUGGAUUUUGACUCUAAUUAAUGGCCCUAAUGAUAUCUAAUGUCCAAAUUCAGUGAUCCUAGUUAUGUGGAGGCAAAAAAUGUAAAAAUAAAUGGAACAUUCAUGCGACACAAGCUGCAAGGUCAGCUUGUUCACUAAACAAGGGAGCUUGAUGGAAAUCUGAAUCUUAAAUCUGACUUCUUUGAUGGUCACAAGAUUGUCUGCCAUCCAACAUUUUAAGCUGAUUUAGUUAUUAUUGUUGAAUGGGUUCUCUCCCUAAUGGGCCUAGCAGAACCACUCGAUAACUUAAUUCUGCAAUUUGUGACUCGAUAUCAUAUGGGCUAUGCCGAUUUCAUUAUUCUUGUCUGAUGGAUAUCAAGGCAAGCAUGAUAAUAUUUUCUUAGUAGACUAAGUGAUGUGAUCUUGGUUUGUCUUGGAAUGACCAGGAGAUGCUGAACUUAGCUAUUAAAUACAACAAGGCAGUGCAAGAGGAAGAUGAGCUGCCACCUGAGAAGCUAGCAAUUGCGAAUGUUGGAAGGCAAGAUGCAAAGAAGCACCUUGAAGAACAUGUGUCUAACUUGAUGUCUUCCAACAUAGUCCAGACUUUGGGUACUAUGCUCGACACAGUUGUGUUCUAGAGCAACAUUUUUUACUUUCCUUUCGGUAUUUUAUGUUUCAAGUAGAACAAUCUUGGAUUUUAUAUUUUAAUUUGCAUUUAUAUCGGUUCUUUAUUGUCGUGAUACUGGACUUUGUUUUGGAUUCCUGUUUGCAUAUCGGUUAUUAAGGAAACAAUUUAAUUGUUUUAACGGCACAAAUAUCUAAUCUCUUUGUGAAACAGAGCUGCCGUUUGAUCUUUGCAUUUGUGAGUUAACUAUGGCAAUACUUUAAUGGAAUUUCAGAAUUAACUUGAAAGAC
Molecule: unclassified non-coding RNA, 2189 nt
Filed under: Hevea brasiliensis (rubber tree)
Lineage: Eukaryota; Viridiplantae; Streptophyta; Magnoliopsida; Malpighiales; Euphorbiaceae
Source: RNAcentral